CGACCGCACCACCCCCAUGUAGAGGCGGC
This 29-nucleotide small RNA is filed under the name Bombyx mori (domestic silkworm). Its description in RNAcentral is "ovarian small RNA-796". The record is from RNAcentral. Lineage: Eukaryota; Metazoa; Arthropoda; Insecta; Lepidoptera; Bombycidae.